RNAcentral lists this ribosomal RNA (254 nucleotides) under uncultured prokaryote. RNAcentral's name for it is "partial 16S ribosomal RNA". It matches the Rfam family "Bacterial small subunit ribosomal RNA", at positions 524 to 777 of the family's 1533-position model. The record is from RNAcentral.
UACGGAGGAUGCAAGCGUUAUCCGGAUUUAUUGGGUUUAAAGGGUGCGCAGGUUGUUUGAUAAGUCAGUGGUGAAAGUCUGUCGCUUAACGGUAGGAUUGCCAUUGAUACUGUUGGACUUGAAUAUGGAUGAGGUAGGCGGAUGUGUAGUGUAGCGGUGAAAUGCAUAGAUAUUACACAGAACACCGAUUGCGAAGGCAGCUUACUAACCCAUCAUUGACGCUGAGGCACGAAAGCGUGGGGAGUCAAACAGGA